Molecule: long non-coding RNA, 3919 nt
Organism: Cavia porcellus (domestic guinea pig)
Lineage: Eukaryota; Metazoa; Chordata; Mammalia; Rodentia; Caviidae
Exons: 2
Source: RefSeq, a predicted model, not a curated record
CACCCCUCCCUCGCCCUUCCCUAAAUCUCAGGUCUGACGUCGCGCCCUCUUAUUCGACUUUUCCUCGCGUCUCCUCCCGGAGUCGCCAAUCGCCGGGGCGCCUUCCCGGCGAGGCCGCCCACCCCCGCGGAUAACGCGCGCCGGGCGGGGCGCGGCGGGGCGGGGGCCGGGCGCAGCGAGUCCCUGCCCGCCUCCUCCUGCCCGCGCCCGGAGGGGGGAGGAGAGGCGCGGGCACGCUGUUUAGGACUGGGUCAGCUCGCCCCUCCCUGCUUCCCGCUCCUCUGAGCCUCUGCUCUGGCCUCGGCGACAGGCCGGGAUCGGCCCGGACCUCGGGCUAUGGCAGGCUCGGGGCUCCUCUGCGUCUCGGAGCCCUUUUCCCUUCGCACCUCGCGACCACGGGCCACUCUCUGUGACUAAAGGACGGAGCUGGAAGAGUGAACAGGGGUGAGGGAGUGUGUCCCGAAUGGCCUUUUAAAAGGCCAUUUCACUGCCCAGAACGUGGGGUGACAGUGUCCUGCCCUGGAGAGCCUAACUGGGCAGUUUACCAUAUGUGACGCCUCCCCUGUGUCCGGGAGCGAUGCCUGUAUUAGAAAAGGGGAUCUCAGCUUGGGGACCAAAGGGUGAAGGCUCCGGAGGUCUUGGGGAGCAGGGAAGAGUUAGUAAACACUGUGAGCUUGCAAUGAGGGAGAGCAGGGAGCAGCAGGGAGCGGGACGGCGGAGGCCCGAGUAACUUUCCGAGAGCGCAGGGAGAAGUUUCCAUAGUGGCCUUUCCUCUGCUGCGCUCUUUUCUCUCGCAACCUCUUUCUCUGCUCCCAGUUUCUGGUGCUAACCCGUUUUACUUCUGCAAGGAUCCUCCCACUGCCAGGGGAGGGGGGCAUGGAAGCAAGACUUUUGGUUUUAUGCUAGAAAAUUUUCUAAAUCGUACUUGAAGUUAUUAGUAUCUAAGCGCCCACCUUCGCGGAUUACAGCGUGCUGUUGAGAGCGGCAUUGAAAUCCCCGGGAAUUGCUGUGGAUCAGGGCCAAGCGCUUUUAGGCCGGCUUGAGGACCCACGCGCGGACCUGGCCUGUGUCAGGCCUGCUCUGGGGACAGAUCCGGGGCGGCGACUCUUCCGUAGAGUGACCUGCUCCAGCUCAGAGGCGGAAACCGGGCACCCAGCACUGAUUGAUGGAGGAAUUGAAUCUGAAUUCCACCAGAGUGGAGAAAUCCAAGGGUCCUGGCCCCGGCUGUCUGAUCACAGCUGCUGGGGGGGAGCACAGUUCGGGCGUAAAAAAAAAAGUUUCUUCCGCUCCUACCUUGAACACUCAGUUUUAAUCGAACCCCCUUCUUGCCACUUUCUCCUCUCUGAUCUGUGGCUCCAGCAGAUUUGAACUGGAGAAAACUAAGGGUGUGUGUAUGUCAAAGCAAGUUUGGAAACGACCAGGUUUAGGGUCGGGGGGGAAAGGAAUCUCCCCAAAUUGUGUCUGAGCUGAUUUGCUCUCCUCUGUACACUUGCCUCCACCUGACGCUGGGCAUUGGCUUUAGGCGAACCCAGCUAUAGGAGGCGACUUCAGGGGCAGCUCUGGCCUUGAAAUGUGUCCCCAGAGCUUGAUUUCGUUUCUAGGCAAACCUCUCAGAACAUGACCUAGAGAAUCUUAGGCUCAUCUUGGAAUAAUCUGAAUUGAAAAAUUCUAGGUGACAUUACUUCCCAGGAUGUUUUUCUAGGCGUGUCCCUUAAGCUUCGACAGCCCUGCAGUCCUAAAAUUUGUACAAAAUGGUAGCACCAGACGAGGGGUGGGGGGGAUGAGAGCCAGAUUAUAGGAUGGGAGGACAGAGGCUUCGCUGCUGUAAAUACUUGGGUAAAACUGAAAAGAUUCAGUUCUUCCAGAAGGAGAAGGGGGUGGGAAGCAAAGAAAAGAGAAGGAAAGAAAAAAAAAACAAAACAGAAAACAAAUCACGAGUCAACGAGAUGCUCCUUCUGCAUUAACCAGUUUAUCGACCUGGCUGCGGAGGAUUACAGGAGGCGGGAAAGAGACUGGAAAAGGGCUGAGCUGCACUCAGGAACCAGUCAAGCCAGCUGGGGGCCGCCCCUGGCUCGGAGUGUAAACCUCCAGACCCAGGCUCGAACUCUCGAACCUCACUUGAUUAGAUCCCUCCAGGCUCCCUAGGCCCCAAGCAGAAGCACUCUCCCCUAACCUAACCUCCCGCUGGGAACGGCCUCCGCCUGGUCCCGAGAUCCAAACCCCAAGUCUGGACUCGGCGUCCGGGGGAGCCAAGCCCCGAUGUGGUGCUAGUCCCCCAACAGGACCCAGCCAGGAGAACCCGACUCUGAACUGAACUCCCGGGCCCGCCAGCAGCCGCACCAUUUCCAUGGAGUUUUAAUCCGAAAGAUUAGGUCAAAGUGACCGGCUCUUCCAGCGUGGUAAAACAGGUGCACUGGAAGUUGGUUUGGGGAAGGCUUGCGCGCCCCAACGCGUUGCACGCAGCUAUUCUUAGCGUUUCCCCUUCCAACAUUCCCAGCGCACAAAGCACCUUGGAGACUCGCUGUGGACGCUCUCUGAACGCGGCCAGGGCUCAGGGAGCGUGCACAAACGCUGUCCGCCGAACACGCGUGGCGCACACAGAGCGCGCUCAACGCGCACAAGGAGCCGCCACCCGACGUGUUCUCAGGGCCCAAGGCCCGACAGGUUCAGGAGGCGCAUGGCGCGCUGCACGCAAACCCGGAGCCCGCAGGCCCCCUUUCGAUCCUUUUGCCCAGCCCUGCGGAGUGCACGUCCCUGCUGGGAGUUGGGGUGGAGAGCCGCUGAAGCUCUCCUUCUCCUAGCCAGGCCCACCUUGGAUCCUUUCCUCCGAGGCCCCGCGUCCCCGGCGGCGGUGCAGGUUAGCUAUCCCUUGGCUUCCUGCAGGCGCUGAGGCGCGCUCCCCCCUCCCCCCGCUCGGGUUACAGGUUAAUGAAAUGCUCGUUUUCCUCAGUCAUUUGUUUUGUUUUCCUGCAAAGUUCUGAUAAGUAGCUAACCAACGAAGCUUGUAAUUACAAUCUUACAGAAACCGGGCCGAUCUGUAUAUAAAUCUCACCAUCCAAUUACAAGAUGUAAUAAUUUUGCACUCAAGCUGGUAAUGAGGUCUAAUACUCGUGCAUGCGAUAAUCCCCCCUGGAUGCUGGCUUGAUCAGAUGUUGGCUUUGUAAUUAGACGGGCAGAAAAUCAUUAUUUCAUGUUCAAAUAGAAAAUGAGGUUGGUGGGAAGUUAAUUUCUCUCCGCUCUGUGAAGCGUAGACAAGAAUUUAAUGAUUUAAUUACAGUUGUAAGCCCUUUCCAUGAGACUUAAAUUGAGCUGAGAAUAUUUUUUCCUCCUCUCGCUUUCUCUCUCCCUCUUUCUCCCUUUCUCGAUCUGUCUCUCCGCUAUUAGCAGCGGCGCGGGCUCCCAUUUGCGUGGCCUCGCAGACGCCCAGGGAGGGAUUCAGACUUGGCCGGGAAUCCAGACUCGCAGCAUCCUACGAGGCGCGGGCCAGGGGCCGGCCGAGCCCCCGGGAACGCGCCGCUGCUUCAAGCCAGACGCCAGGUCUUGGGAGACCUCCCCUGGGUCCGGACAAGUGACGGGAAACUUUGGGGUGGUCCAGGAAUCCCAAGAGGAGGUUGGAGAGAGAAUAUAAAGGCUGGUGUGAAAGCAGAAAUCUCCAGUUUCCUCUGAGGCCCUCCUCAACCCCAGUCCUUUCUUGAUUUUCUCAUUUUCCCCCCCACUAUGUGGGAUUAAAUCAGGAAUGCUCUACCACCGACAUACCUCCAUGGCCCUUUUUAUUUUAUUUAUUAUUUUGAGACAAAGUCUCAUUCAUUUGUCCAGGCUUGCUUUGAAUUUGUGAUCCUCCUGUGUCUGCCUCCUGAGUAACUGGGAUUGUAGGUGUGUGUGGUAGCUUGGCAUUCUCAAUAAACCCAUUAAAAUCAAA